Molecule: small RNA, 959 nt
Filed under: uncultured beta proteobacterium
Lineage: Bacteria; Pseudomonadati; Pseudomonadota; Betaproteobacteria
Description: bacterial SSU rRNA
Rfam family: Bacterial small subunit ribosomal RNA (bases 1-467)
Source: RNAcentral
GUCGUGAGAUGUUGGGUUAAGUCCCGCAACGAGCGCAACCCUUGUCAUUAGUUGCUACAUUCAGUUGGGCACUCUAAUGAGACUGCCGGUGACAAACCGGAGGAAGGUGGGGAUGACGUCAAGUCCUCAUGGCCCUUAUGGGUAGGGCUUCACACGUAAUACAAUGGCGCGUACAGAGGGCUGCUAAGCCGCGAGGUAGAGCCAAUCCCUUAAAGCGCGUCGUAGUCCGGAUUGCAGUCUGCAACUCGACUGCAUGAAGUCGGAAUCGCUAGUAAUCGCGGAUCAGCAUGUCGCGGUGAAUACGUUCCCGGGUCUUGUACACACCGCCCGUCACACCAUGGGAGUGGGUUUCACCAGAAGCCGGUCGCUUAACCGCAAGGAUGGCGCCGACCACGGUGAGAUUCAUGACUGGGGUGAAGUCGUAACAAGGUAGCCGUAUCGGAAGGUGCGGCUGGAUCACCUCCUUUCUAGAUCAGCACCUCGCAGUGCCCACCAUCUAUCGGCUGUUACUUCUCCAAGAGAGCGGGUCUGUAGCUCAGUUGGUUAGAGCACCGUCUUGAUAAGGCGGGGGUCGAUGGUUCGAAUCCAUCCAGACCCACCAGACUCUCGCUCUUUAACAAUCCGGGAUUGAAGGUAAAGUUGUUCUCAUGGCGAGGGGGCGUGGAAGGUUUCACGCGCUCGAGCGAUGAGGGCUAACUGGGUUAUGUAUUGCAUCGUGUUCUGCGCCGCAGGAUUGGCGUGGAUGCACAAACUUAAGCGUGAGAGUUACCUAUUGCUUUGAUUUGCCCUGGGGGACUUUGCCUCGGGGUGCUUUUGCUCUAAAGGCGAAGGCGGCAAGGUUAUAGGGUCAAGCGAAUAAGUGCAUGUGGUGGAUGCCUUGGCAAUGAUAGGCGAUGAAGGACGUGACAGCCUGCGAUAAGCUGCGGGGAGCCGGCAAAUGGGCGCUGAUCCGCGGAUUU